This 251-nucleotide ribosomal RNA is filed under the name uncultured bacterium. RNAcentral's name for it is "partial 16S ribosomal RNA". It matches the Rfam family "Bacterial small subunit ribosomal RNA", at positions 524 to 775 of the family's 1533-position model. The record is from RNAcentral.
UACGGGGGGGCAAGCGUUGUUCGGAAUUACUGGGCGUAAAGGGCUCGUAGGCGGCCAACUAAGUCAGACGUGAAAUCCCUCAGCUUAACUGGGGAACUGCGUCUGAUACUGGAUGGCUUGAGAUUGGGAGAGGGAUGCGGAAUUCCAGGUGUAGCGGUGAAAUGCGUAGAUAUCUGGAGGAACACCGGUGGCGAAGGCGGCAUCCUGGACCAACACUGACGCUGAGGAGCGAAAGCCAGGGGAGCAACGGG